GGAGCUUAAUUAAAUAGAAAGAUCUUUCUUUUAUGUGAGAUUCUUUUCUUCUUAAUGGGAUUUGCGGCGUUCCAGUCGUAAGAAACCCAGCAAUAACAGGUCUGUGAUGCCCUAAGAUGUCUGGGGCUGCACGCGCGCUACAAUGAAAAUUGCAGCGCGUGUGACCAUUUCUGUAAAGAAUUGGUAAACGAGUCAAAUUAUUCCGUAUUUGGGAUUGAACAUUGUAAUUAUUGUUCAUGAACGAGGAACUUCAAGUAAGUGUAAGUCAUCAGCUUACGCUGAUUACGUCCCUG
Molecule: ribosomal RNA, 293 nt
Filed under: Panagrolaimus sp. R6_R4_NF1
Lineage: Eukaryota; Metazoa; Nematoda; Chromadorea; Rhabditida; Panagrolaimidae
Description: partial small subunit ribosomal RNA
Rfam family: Eukaryotic small subunit ribosomal RNA
Source: RNAcentral